Molecule: ribosomal RNA, 2982 nt
Filed under: Datisca glomerata
Lineage: Eukaryota; Viridiplantae; Streptophyta; Magnoliopsida; Cucurbitales; Datiscaceae
Description: eukaryotic LSU rRNA
Rfam family: Eukaryotic large subunit ribosomal RNA
Source: RNAcentral
UCUUAUUUGGGCCUACUCCGCAUGGCACUAGAAGCACCUAAAAUGACCACCAAACUCCAAAUUACUAUCCAAAACAUCUAUUGAGUGUCAAAAGUUAGGUCAAGUAUAUGUCAUGCCCAAAAGAUUAAAGUUUAGCCAAGUUCUUCUCAUUUGAGCCUAAACACGUCACAUUGGACAUUUUUUACUCCACAUGGUACUAGAAGCACCUAAAAUGAUCACCACACUCUAAAUUCUUUUCCAAAAUGUGUAUUGGAUGUCAAAAGCCAGGUUGAGUACAUGCCAUGUGAAAAUGAUCCAAGUUUAGCCAAGUUUGUUUUAUUUGGCCCACUCUGCAUGGCACUAGAAACACCUUAAAUGACCACGACACUCCAAAUUCUUAUCUAAAAUGUGUAUCAUGUGUCAAAUGUUAGGUCGAGUAUAUGACAUGCCUAAAAGAUCCAAGUUUAACCAAGUUCAUCUCAUUUGGUCCUAAACACGUCUCAUUAGGUCUUUUGACACUCUAUAGCACUAGAAGCACCUAAAAUGACCACCAUACUCCAAAUUCUUAUCCAAAUUGUGGUGGUCAUUUCAGGUGCUUCUAGUGCAAUGGCUAAACAAACCAUCUAGUAGUUGGUUCCCUCCGAAGUUUCUCUCAGGAUAAUUGGAGCCCGCAGGCGAGUUCUAUAGGUUAAAGCCAAUAAUUAGAGGCAUCGGGGGUGCAACGCCCUCGACCUAUUCUCAAACUUUAAAUAGGUAGGACAAAGAGGCUUCUUUGUUGAGCCGUGCUAUGGAAUCGAGAGCUCCAACUGGCGAUGCGGGAUGAACCAGAAGCCAUUACGGUGCUCAACUACUCGUUAACCUAUAACCCAUAAAUAGUGUUAUUGGUUGAUUAAGACAGCAGGACGGUGGUCAUGGAAGUCAAAAUCAUCUACGUAGUGAUAACAACUCACGUGCUGAAUCAACUAGCCCUAAAAAUGGAUGGCGCUGAAGCGCGUGACCUAUACUCGGCCGUCGGGGCAAGUGCCAGGCCCCAAUGACUAGGAGGGCUUGGCGGUUGUAGAAAAACCUAGGAAGUGAGUCCAGCGGAGUGGCCGUCAGUGCAGAUCUUGGUGGUAGUAGCAAAAUAUUCAAAUGAGAACUUUGAAGGCCGAAAAGGGGAAAUGUUCCAUGUGAACGACACUUGCACAUGAGUUACUUGAUCCUGAGAGAUGAGGGAAGCAUGUCUGAUAGCGUGAACCGCGCAAGCUUCGAAAGGAAAUCAAGUUAAAAUCCUUGAAACGUGAUGUGAUGGCCGACGGCAAUGUUAGGGAGUCUAGAGACGCUGACAGGGGCCUAGGGAAGAGUUAUCUUUUAUGUUUAACAACCUACCCACCCUGGAAAAGGCUUAGUCAGAGGUAGGGUUGAGCGGAUAGAAGAGCACUGCAUGUCAUGUGGUGCCCGGUGUGCCAUUGAUGGCCCUUGAAAAUCUGGAGGACAGGUUGUCAUCCACUCAUAACCACAUCAGGUCUCCAAGGUGAAUAGCCUCUGGUCGAUGGAAUAAUGUAAGCAAGGGAAGUCAGCAAAAUGGAUCUGUAACCUUGGGAAAAGGAUUGGCUCUGACGGAUGGACACAUGGGUCCCAGUCUAGAACCCAUCGGCUAUUGAUGGACUGCUGGAGUUUCUCUUAUGGUGAGAGCAGGUCAUCGCAUGCCGAUCGAGGGAUGGACUGGGAAUGGUCCCUUCGGAGGCCUUCCCCAGGCAUCGUAUAGUCAACUCAGAACUUGUACGGACAAGAGGAAUCUGAAUGUUUAAUUAAAGAAAGCAUUGAUAUGGUCAAUGCGGAUGCUCACGCAAUGUGAUUUCUGCCUACUGCUUAGAAUGUCCAAGUGAAGAAAUUCAACCAAGCGCGGGUAAACGAUGGGAGUAACUAUGACUCUCUUAAGGUAGCGAAAUACCUCAUCAUCUAAUUAAUGACGCGCAUGAAUGGAUUAACAAGAUUCUCAUUGUACUUGUCUACUAUCUAGUGAACCACACCCAAGGGAACGGGCUUGGCAAAAUCAGCGAGGAAAGACGACACUGUUGAGCUUGACUCUAGUCCAACUUUAUGAAAUGACUUAAGAGGUGUAGGAUAAGUGGGAGUUGGAAACGGUGAAACGUAUAUACCAUUACUUUUAAUGUUAUUUUACUUAUUCCGUAAAUCAGAAGCAUGGCACUACCCCUCUUUUUUGUCACAAGGCAUGUGUCGGUGGGCCGAUCUAGGUGGAAAAUAUUGUCAGGUGGGGAGUUUGGCUGGGGCGGCACUUCUGUUAAAAGAUAACACAUGUGUCCUAAGAUGAGCUCAACGAAAAUAGAAAUCUCGUGUGGAACAAAAGGGUAAAAGCUCGUUUGAUUUUGAUUUUCAGUACGAGUAAAAAUUGUGAAAGUGUGGCCUAUCGAUCCUUUAGAUCUUCAGAAUUUGAAGCUGGAGGUGUUAGAAAAGUGACCACAGGGAUAACUGGCUUGUGGCAGCUAAGUGUUCAUAGCGACGUUGCUUUUGAUCCUUCGAUGUCGGCUCCUCCUAUCAUUGUGAAGAAAAAUUCACCAAGUGUUUUAUUGUUCACCCACUAAUAGGGAACGUGAGCUGGGUUUAGACCGUCGUGAGAGAGGUUAUUUUUACCCUACUUAUAAUAGUGUCACAAUAGUAAUCAACCUAGUACAAGAGGAAUCAUUGAUUCACACAAUUGGUCAUCGCUUGGUUGAAAAGCCAAAAGCUAUCGUGCGUUAGAUUAUGACUGAACAACUCUAAUUUAGAAUUCAUGCUAGAAGAGACGCAUGCACCCGUCGCCCGAUUACCGACUAGCAGUAGGGGUAACCCCAAAGGCAUGUGUUGUUGGUGAAGCCUUCUCGACGGGCGAAUCAAGUUGGCUGCUUUACAACAUAAUUUCCACCGAACGACGAGUACAAUCCUUUGCAGAUGAUUUAAAUACGCGACGGGGUAUUAUAAGUGACAGAGUGGCCUUGUUGUCAUGAUUCAUUGAGAUUCAUC